UUCACGAAGCAAUCGGAAGUGGUUCCAAGAAAAGCCUCUAAGCUUCAGUCAUACGAGACCGUACCGCAAACCGACACAGGUGGGCGAGAUGAGUAUUCUAAGGCGCUUGAGAGAACUCGGGAGAAGGAACUCGGCAAAUUGGUACCGUAACUUCGGGAAAAGGUACGCCCCGGUAGCUUGAUUGGUUUACUCCAUGAGGGUGAAAGGGUUGCAAUAAACUGGUGGCUGCGACUGUUUAAUAAAAACACAGCACUCUGCAAACACGAAAGUGGACGUAUAGGGUGUGACGCCUGCCCGGUGCUGGAAGAUUAAAUGAUGGGGUGCAAGCUCUUGAUUGAAGUCCCAGUAAACGGCGGCCGUAACUAUAACGGUCCUAAGGUAGCGAAAUUCCUUGUCGGGUAAGUUCCGACCUGCACGAAUGGCGUAACGAUGGCCACACUGUCUCCUCCCGAGACUCAGCGAAGUUGAAAUGUUUGUGAUGAUGCAAUCUACCCGCGGCUAGACGGAAAGACCCCAUGAACCUUUACUGUAGCUUUGCAUUGGACUUUGAACCAAUCUGUGUAGGAUAGGUGGGAGGCUUUGAAGCGGGGACGCUAGUUCUCGUGGAGCCAACCUUGAAAUACCACCCUGGUUUGUUUGAGGUUCUAACCUUGGUCCGUUAUCCGGAUCGGGGACAGUGCAUGGUAGGCAGUUUGACUGGGGCGGUCUCCUCCUAAAGUGUAACGGAGGAGUUCGAAGGUACGCUAGAUACGGUCGGACAUCGUGUUGAUAGUGCAAUGGCAUAAGCGUGCUUAACUGCGAGACUGACAAGUCGAGCAGGUACGAAAGUAGGACAUAGUGAUCCGGUGGUUCUGUAUGGAAGGGCCAUCGCUCAACGGAUAAAAGGUACUCUGGGGAUAACAGGCUGAUUCCUCCCAAGAGUUCAUAUCGACGGGGGAGUUUGGCACCUCGAUGUCGGCUCAUCACAUCCUGGGGCUGUAGCCGGUCCCAAGGGUAUGGCUGUUCGCCAUUUAAAGUGGUACGUGAGCUGGGUUUAAAACGUCGUGAGACAGUUUGGUCCCUAUCUGCCGUGGGCGUUGGAAAUUUGAAGGGGGCUGCUCCUAGUACGAGAGGACCGGAGUGGACGAACCUCUGGUGUACCGGUUGUCACGCCAGUGGCAUUGCCGGGUAGCUAAGUUCGGAAGAGAUAACCGCUGAAAGCAUCUAAGCGGGAAACUUGCCUUGAGAUGAGAUUUCCCAGAGCCUUGAGCUCUUUGAAGGGUCGUUCGAGACCAGGACGUUGAUAGGCUGGGUGUGGAAGUGCAGUAAUGCAUUAAGCUAACCAGUACUAAUUGCCCGUACGGCUUGUCCCUAUAACCUUAGCAGGU
Molecule: ribosomal RNA, 1367 nt
Filed under: Janthinobacterium sp. BJB312
Lineage: Bacteria; Pseudomonadati; Pseudomonadota; Betaproteobacteria; Burkholderiales; Oxalobacteraceae
Also listed under: 1 other name
Description: bacterial LSU rRNA
Rfam family: Bacterial large subunit ribosomal RNA
Source: RNAcentral